This 520-nucleotide ribosomal RNA is filed under the name uncultured Acaulospora. Its description in RNAcentral is "SSU rRNA". It matches the Rfam family "Eukaryotic small subunit ribosomal RNA", at positions 569 to 1089 of the family's 1831-position model. The record is from RNAcentral. Lineage: Eukaryota; Fungi; Glomeromycota; Glomeromycetes; Diversisporales; Acaulosporaceae.
AGCAGCCGCGGUAAUUCCAGCUCCAAUAGCGUAUAUUAAAGUUGUUGCAGUUAAAAAGCUCGUAGUUGAAUUUCGGAGUUUAUCGGUUGGUCGGGCUUCACUGUCCGCACUGGCCUGAUGGAUUCCUACCUUCUGAAUAACCAGCAUGCUAUUAAUUUAGUGCGUUGGGGAAGCAGAGCUAUUACCUUGAAAAAUUAGAGUGCUUAAAGCAGGCUUAUGCUUGAAUAGAUUAGCAUGGAAUAAUAAAAUAGGACGGCUUGGUUCCUAUUUUGUUGGUUUCUAGGAUCACCGUAAUGAUUAAUAGGGAUAGUUGGGGGCAUUAGUAUUCAAUUGUCAGAGGUGAAAUUCUUGGAUUUAUUGAAGACUAACUUCUGCGAAAGCAUUUGCCAAGGAUGUUUUCAUUAAUCAAGAACGAAAGUUAGGGGAUCGAAGACGAUCAGAUACCGUCGUAGUCUUAACCAUAAACUAUGCCGACUAGGGAUCGGACGAUGUUAAUUUUUAAUGACUCGUUCGGCGUCCG